RNAcentral lists this ribosomal RNA (492 nucleotides) under uncultured bacterium. RNAcentral's name for it is "partial 16S ribosomal RNA". It matches the Rfam family "Bacterial small subunit ribosomal RNA", at positions 29 to 507 of the family's 1533-position model. The record is from RNAcentral.
AUUGAACGCUGGCGGCAUGCUUUACACAUGCAAGUCGAACGGUAACAGGCCUUCGGGUGCUGACGAGUGGCGAACGGGUGAGUAAUGCAUCGGAACGUACCCAGAGGUGGGGGAUAACGCAGCGAAAGCUGUGCUAAUACCGCAUGUGAUCUGAGGAUGAAAGCGGGGGACCGAGCAGCAAUGUUUGGCCUCGCGCCUUUGGAGCGGCCGAUGUCGGAUUAGCUAGUUGGUGGGGUAAAGGCCUACCAAGGCGACGAUCCGUAGCUGGUCUGAGAGGACGAGGAGACAAAAUGGGAAUGAGAGACGGGCCAGACUGAGACGGGGGGCAGCAGUGGGGAAGAGUGAAAAAUGGGCGCAAGUCGGAUCAAGCCAUAGCGGGGGGGGGAAGAAGGCCUUCGGGUUGGAAAGCACUUUUGUUGGGAAAGAAAAGCAGAAGGUGAAUACCCCGCUGUUCUGAGGCGCCCAAAAGAAUAAUCACGGGCGACCUUCGUC